Molecule: ribosomal RNA, 317 nt
Filed under: uncultured bacterium
Lineage: Bacteria
Description: bacterial SSU rRNA
Rfam family: Bacterial small subunit ribosomal RNA
Source: RNAcentral
GACGAACGCUGGCGGCGUGCCUAAUACAUGCAAGUCGAGCGGACCGAUGGGAGCUUGCUCCUUUAGGUUAGCGGCGGACGGGUGAGUAACACGUGGGCAACCUGCCCUGCAGACUGGGAUAACUUCGGGAAACCGGAGCUAAUACCGGAUAAUUUCUUUCCUCUCCUGAAGAGAGAAUGAAAGGCGGAGCAAUCUGCUACUUGGGGAUGGGCCUGCGGCGCAUUAGCUAGUUGGUGGGGUAACGGCUCACCAAGGCGACGAUGCGUAGCCGACCUGAGAGGGUGAACGGCCACACUGGGACUGAGACACGGACCCAA